RNAcentral lists this ribosomal RNA (450 nucleotides) under uncultured bacterium. Its description in RNAcentral is "partial 16S ribosomal RNA". It matches the Rfam family "Bacterial small subunit ribosomal RNA", at positions 354 to 796 of the family's 1533-position model. The record is from RNAcentral.
GUGGGGAAUAUUGGACAAUGGGCGAAAGCCUGAUCCAGCCAUGCCGCGUGUGUGAAGAAGGUCUUCGGAUUGUAAAGCACUUUAAGUUGGGAGGAAGGGCAGUAAGUUAAUACCUUGCUGUUUUGACGUUACCGACAGAAUAAGCACCGGCUAACUUCGUGCCAGCAGCCGCGGUAAUACGAAGGGUGCAAGCGUUAAUCGGAAUUACUGGGCGUAAAGCGCGCGUAGGUGGUUUUGUAAGUGGGAGGUGAAAUCCCCGGGCUCAACCUGGGAACUGCCUCCAAAACUGCAUGACUAGAGUACGGUAGAGGGUAGUGGAAUGUCCUGUGUAGCGGUGAAAUGCGUAGAUAUAGGAAGGAACACCAGUGGCGAAGGCGACUACCUGGACUGAUACUGACACUGAGGUGCGAAAGCGUGGGGAGCAAACAGGAUUAGAUACCCCGGUAGUCC